UUCAACCUUCUACAUUCAAGAACAUGGAGAAAAUAGGGUUCAUGAUUUAGUUUCAAACUUAAGGACCCACUUCUAAGAAGGAUUAAAUUGGUCAUCUAGCAUCCAAUUGAAGCUGAAAUUAGAGGCGUUCAGUAGAUAGCGAUCAGGUCGAGCCUCCACUCCUUGUUUCGGAAGGCUCCUUACGUUUUGCGUGUACAGCUUCUGACUCUCUAGCGCUGCAGUAGUUCAGACGUAUACUUUUGUCGAGGUCCUAUUAGCGGUUUAUUGUAUUUUGGUUUAGUAACCGCUCAUGUCUAUAUCCUUUUGUUAGGCCUCGUUUUCUGAUUAACAAACAAACAUCAGAGGUAGCUUUAGUUUAAAACGCUUAAUAUAUGUAUUUUGUAAAUGCUUAGAAUGAUACUUAGCGAUAUUUAUAUAUAUGUGUGUGCGGUUGUACAA
Long non-coding RNA from Mercurialis annua (annual mercury), 438 nucleotides. RefSeq lists it as uncharacterized. Lineage: Eukaryota; Viridiplantae; Streptophyta; Magnoliopsida; Malpighiales; Euphorbiaceae. The transcript has 2 exons. The record is from RefSeq and is a predicted model, not a curated record.